This 164-nucleotide ribosomal RNA is filed under the name Drosophila meridiana. Its description in RNAcentral is "partial 16S ribosomal RNA". The record is from RNAcentral. Lineage: Eukaryota; Metazoa; Arthropoda; Insecta; Diptera; Drosophilidae.
UUUUAAAUAAUAAUUUUUCAAAUUAUUUCAAUUUUCUUUCACAAUACUAUUAAACUAUAAUUAAAUUUAUUUUUUCUUUAAACAAUACUGAAACUUUAUAAUAUAUAAUUAUUUUUAAUAUUUUAAACAUAAAUAAAUAAAUAAAAUUAAUAAAUAAAAUUUAA